AUGGCUCUUUGUUAACUAAAUAUAGGGAGUCUGGCCUGCCCAGUGAUUUUUCAUUUAACGGCCGCGGUACUCUGACCGUGCGAAGGUAGCAUAAUCAUUUGUCUUAUAAUUGAAGUCUGGAAUGAAUGGUUACACAAGAGCAAAGCUGUCUCUAGCUACGCAAUAAAACUUUAUUAUUAAGUCAAAAAGCUUAUAUAAAAUUAAAAGACGAGAAGACCCUAUCGAGCUUUAGAGACUCAUUAAAAUUUUUUACAUUUAUGUAAAAACAAUAUUUAAAUUUACUUUAGUUGGGGCGACUCGAGAACAUUUGAAGCUUCUUGUUUUUUGAAUACUUAUAGGUGAGCCCUAAAUUAGGACUAAAAAAAUUAGUUACCGUAGGGAUAACAGCAUUAUCUUUUUUGAGAGCUCAAAUCGAAAAAAAGGUUUGUGACCUCGAUGUUGGACCAAGAUAUCCUUAAGAUGCAGAAGUCUUAAAAGGUUGGUCUGUUCGACCAUUAAAAUCUUACGUGAUCUGAGUUCAGACCGG
Molecule: ribosomal RNA, 526 nt
Filed under: Marsenia sp. MNHN IM 2019-9615
Lineage: Eukaryota; Metazoa; Mollusca; Gastropoda; Littorinimorpha; Velutinidae
Description: partial large subunit ribosomal RNA
Rfam family: Bacterial large subunit ribosomal RNA
Source: RNAcentral